RNAcentral lists this ribosomal RNA (488 nucleotides) under Trigonopterus coriarius. RNAcentral's name for it is "SSU rRNA". It matches the Rfam family "Eukaryotic small subunit ribosomal RNA", at positions 103 to 568 of the family's 1831-position model. The record is from RNAcentral. Lineage: Eukaryota; Metazoa; Arthropoda; Insecta; Coleoptera; Curculionidae.
AAAUCAGUUAUGGUUCCUUAGAUCGUACCCACAAUAACUAGGAUAACUGUGGUAAUUCUAGAGCUAAUACAUGCAAACAGAGCUCCGACCGGAGACGGAAGGAGUGCUUUUAUUAGAUCAAAACCAAUCGGUGGCGGGUUCGCCCGUUAUCGUACAACUUGGUGACUCUGAAUAACUUUACGCUGAUCGCACGGUCAUCGCACCGGCGACGCAUCUUUCAAAUGUCUGCCUUAUCAACUGUCGAUGGUAGGUUCUGCGCCUACCAUGGUUGUAACGGGUAACGGGGAAUCAGGGUUCGAUUCCGGAGAGGGAGCCUGAGAAACGGCUACCACAUCCAAGGAAGGCAGCAGGCGCGCAAAUUACCCACUCCCGGCACGGGGAGGUAGUGACGAAAAAUAACGAUACGGGACUCAUCCGAGGCCCCGUAAUCGGAAUGAGUACACUCUAAACCCUUUAACGAGGAUCAAUUGGAGGGCAAGUCUGGUGCC